AAGCAUUUGAGUCUGUUAAUGAGCCUUCCCUGCAGUGACUGUCAGUGGAAAACUUUGGAAUCCUCUUAGAAGGAUUGUCAUCAGAAUUACUGAUAAUGUAUGAAAAUCAUCCGGAACAGUACUUGACCCACUGUCAAGUGCUCAAUAAAAUGAGAGAUGCUGAGUUAUGAUGACCAUGAACCACAGGCCGGUUGGCCAUUUCAAGCUGGAAGUACUGCGUGUAAUGAAGAAUAAUGCCCCGCCCCCCAAGAUGUCCACAUCCUAAUCCCUGGAAACUGUGAUAACGUUACCUUACAUGGCA
This is a long non-coding RNA of Eptesicus fuscus (big brown bat), 301 nucleotides long. RefSeq lists it as uncharacterized. The transcript has 4 exons. The record is from RefSeq and is a predicted model, not a curated record. Lineage: Eukaryota; Metazoa; Chordata; Mammalia; Chiroptera; Vespertilionidae.